GAUGAACGCUGGCGGCGUGCCUAAUACAUGCAAGUCGAGCGAACAGACGAGAAGCUUGCUCCUCUGACGUUAGCGGCGGACGGGUGAGUAACACGUGGAUAACCUACCUAUAAGACUGGGAUAACUUCGGGAAACCGGAGCUAAUACCGGAUAAUAUAUUGAACCGCAUGGUUCAAUAGUGAAAGACGGUUUUGCUGUCACUUAUAGAUGGAUCCGCGCCGCAUUAGCUAGUUGGUAAGGUAACGGCUUACCAAGGCGACGAUGCGUAGCCGACCUGAGAGGGUGAUCGGCCACACUGGAACUGAGACACGGUCCAGACUCCUACGGGAGGCAGCAGUAGGGAAUCUUCCGCAAUGGGCGAAAGCUUGACGGAGCAACGCCGCGUGAGUGAUGAAGGUCUUCGGAUCGUAAAACUCUGUUAUUAGGGAAGAACAAAUGUGUAAGUAACUAUGCACGUCUUGACGGUACCUAAUCAGAAAGCCACGGCUAACUACGUG
RNAcentral lists this ribosomal RNA (497 nucleotides) under uncultured bacterium. RNAcentral describes it as "partial 16S ribosomal RNA". It matches the Rfam family "Bacterial small subunit ribosomal RNA", at positions 28 to 507 of the family's 1533-position model. The record is from RNAcentral.